Molecule: ribosomal RNA, 497 nt
Filed under: uncultured bacterium
Lineage: Bacteria
Description: partial 16S ribosomal RNA
Rfam family: Bacterial small subunit ribosomal RNA
Source: RNAcentral
GAUGAACGCUGGCGGCGUGCCUAAUACAUGCAAGUCGAGCGAACGGACGAGAAGCUUGCUUCUCUGAUGUUAGCGGCGGACGGGUGAGUAACACGUGGAUAACCUACCUAUAAGACUGGGAUAACUUCGGGAAACCGGAGCUAAUACCGGAUAAUAUUUUGAACCGCAUGGUUCAAAAGUGAAAGACGGUCUUGCUGUCACUUAUAGAUGGAUCCGCGCUGCAUUAGCUAGUUGGUAAGGUAACGGCUUACCAAGGCAACGAUGCAUAGCCGACCUGAGAGGAUGAUCGGCCACACUGGAACUGAGACGCGGUCCAGACUCCUACGGGAGGCAGCAGUAGGGAAUCUUCCGCAAUGGGCGAAAGCCUGACGGAGCAACGCCGCGUGAGUGAUGAAGGUCUUCGGAUCGUAAAACUCUGUUAUUAGGGAAGAACAUAUGUGUAAGUAACUGUGCACAUCUUGACGGUACCUAAUCAGAAAGCCACGGCUAACUACGUG